AAGAGCAUUUAGCAGAAGGCCGACCUGUGGCUUGUCCAGUAACGGGUUGUAAAAAUACUUUUACAAUUAAAUCGUCUUUUACAGCCCACAUGUCAAGAAAGCAUAGAGCUGCUUCAAAUGAUUCUAUAAGUGACAUUUACAGGGAAACUGUUUCUCAGUCGUCCACUGUCAUUGAAUGUGAUGUUUCAAAUGAUGUAACAACACCUGAAACUACAGAAUUGCCCCAAAUUUCUAGUGAGUCGUUCCUUAGGAAUAUGUGUUUAUUAUACUUAAAACUGCAAGGACAGCUCCUCCUUCCAGCUUCAACAAUUCAGACGAUUGUUGAAGAGAUGCAAAAUGUGCAUGAGUUGGGACAAGAUUACACUUUAAUUAAACUGCAUUCCCUUUUAAAAAAUGAGAUGGAUCUAGCAGAUGAAGUUGUUAGUAAAGUCUGUGACUGUGUAAAGGAUUCAGAUCUGUUCUCUUUCUGUCAUCAAGGACCACUGAGAACAACAUAUUCAAGAAGUCAGACAUUCAAACAGAUGUUCAAAUACAUAGAGCCUAAAAAGGUAACAUUGGGAAAUGAUGAAAAUAUGACAAAGAAGUUUGCAUAUUACAUACCUGUGAAACAAACAUUGAGUAGCUUAUUGGAAUCGGAAUUAUGGAAGAAUUCGCUGUGUCAGCCAUCUUGUGAAAUAGACUCGGAUAAUUUUGCUGACAUUAGUGAUGGCAAAAUCUUUAAGUCCAACCAGUUCUUUCUUGAAAAUCCAGAAUGUCUGAAACUAAUUAUUUACCAGGAUGCGUUUGAAAUUGUCAAUCCACUUGGAUCUGCUAAAAAAAAGCACAAAGUAGUUGCAGUCUACCUCUCUUUGGGUAAUUUACCUGCUCAUGUGCGGUCCAAUACUGAUCACAUGUUUCUCGCCUUGUUGUGUGGAGAGAACGACCUAAAGAAAUUUGGAAGUGCUAAGGUUUUCUCAGAGCUGUUAGUGGAUUUAAAAGAUUUGGAGGAAAAUGGAAUAGCUGUAGGUGGUAAAGUAGUCAAAGGUGCACUGUAUUGUAUUGCUGGGGAUAAUUUGGGUUCACACGCCAUUGGUGGGUUUACUGAAAAUUUCAGUCGUGCUCAGUAUUUUUGCAGGUAUUGUGAAAUCACAAGAAAUGAGUUUCAGAGUGAUAACCCAAAUGUUUGUGGUCCACAGCGCACCCCUGAAACGUAUGAUUCUGCUGUUCAUGAUUUACAAUCUGAAGACCGUCAAGACAUCAAAGGAAUAAAGGCCAAUCCUGCUUUUCGUCGAAGCGUUUCAUGCUGUGUGUGGAUCAAAAUAUUGUACAUGACAACAUCCCCUCCUUCAUUUCCGCCCUGUGCAUGAUGUUUGGAAGCUAUUAUUGCUUUAACAUCCAUUACCCAUCAGAGCUGGCAUCAACCUUGGAGUUUUUGCAGAGGUGUUUCUUCUCUAUCAACCCAGAGAAAGGCACUAAAGUGGAGGAGACAAACACAGCCCGACUUCAUGUGAACCCAAGAGUUCUUACCUUGAUUCAGGCGCUUUCAGAUCAUGAAUGGCGUGACGUCUAAAUAUGGACUGAAGUCAGUAAGAUUUGACAAACAGUGAAUGCCAGUUUCUCAGGUUUAUUUGAUCUGCCAUGCUUAAUGUAUGUGUUAAGUUUGUACACAACUGUUAAGAGUUUUUAUUGCUCUAGUGUUUUCUGAAUUAGGUUAUUUCUGAAUUGCUUGUUUGUAUGGAAUAUUUGUUUAUAAAACAACUCUUAAAUGUUCUUAAACCGAUUUAAGAGAAAAGUCAGUAACAUUUUAUAAUAACUACACACUAUAAAUAAUUUAUUAAGCAUUAGCAUAUAGUGAAUUCAUUAACUGUUGAGCACUAACUCUAAAUUAAUAAACAUUAUUUGGCAGUUUAUAACAACUGCUAAAAUGCUGUAUUCUUGAUUUAAAAACACGUGUAAUGUGCCUAAUAAUUGUGUUUUCAUACUUUGUUAAUGAUUCUUUUUUCAUUACUGAAUUAAGUACUGCAUUAUUUACAAACCAGUUGUAUUUUAGAGUAUUUCAGGGUUUUUAGGAUCAUUUAGAAUGAAUUGGUAAAUGGUUAAUAAACUAUUCAAAUCAACAUUUAUAAUUCUUAUUAUUCAGGCAUAUAUUAAUAGUUAAUUUGUAUGUUAUUUAAUUCUUUAUUAACUCAACUUUAUCCUCACUAAUCCAAAGUGAGGACUAUGCUUUAUAAAUCC
Danio rerio (zebrafish) is the source of this 2214-nucleotide non-coding RNA. Lineage: Eukaryota; Metazoa; Chordata; Actinopteri; Cypriniformes; Danionidae. The record is from RefSeq and is a predicted model, not a curated record.